UACCUGCAGCUCGAGUGGUAACCGCUAUUGUUGGGCCUAAAGCGUCCGUAGCCGGUUUGGUAAAUAUCUGGGUAAAUCGUGAGGCUUAACUUCACGAAUUUCGGAUAGACUGCCAGACUUGGGAUCGGGGGAGGUCAGAGGUACUCCAGGGGUAGCGGUGAAAUGUUGUAAUCCUUGGAGGACCACCGGUAGCGAAGGCGUCUGACUAGAACGAGUCCGACGGUGAGGGACGAAGCCCUGGGGCGCAAACCGGAUUAGAUACCCGGGUAGUCCAGGGUGUAAACGAUGUGGGCUUUGUAUAGGAGGUCCCACGUGGGCGUCCAGUGCAGAAGAGAAGUUGUUAAGCCCACCGCCUGGGAAGUACGGUCGCAAGGCUGAAACUUAAAGGAAUUGGCGGGGGAGCACAGCAACGGGAGGAGCGUGCGGUUU
RNAcentral lists this ribosomal RNA (429 nucleotides) under uncultured archaeon. RNAcentral describes it as "bacterial SSU rRNA". It matches the Rfam family "Archaeal small subunit ribosomal RNA", at positions 474 to 903 of the family's 1478-position model. The record is from RNAcentral.